RNAcentral lists this ribosomal RNA (200 nucleotides) under uncultured bacterium. Its description in RNAcentral is "partial 16S ribosomal RNA". It matches the Rfam family "Bacterial small subunit ribosomal RNA", at positions 29 to 258 of the family's 1533-position model. The record is from RNAcentral.
AACGAACGCUGGCGGCAGGCUUAACACAUGCAAGUCGAGCGCCCCGCAAGGGGAGCGGCAGACGGGUGAGUAACACGUGGGAACGUACCCUUUACUACGGAAUAGCUCCGGGAAACUGGAAUCAAUACCGUAUGUGCCCUUUGGGGGAAAGAUUUAUCGGUAAAGGAUCGGCCCGCGUUGGAUUAGCUAGUUGGUGGGGU